CCUACGGGCGGCAGCAGUGGGGAAUAUUGCACAAUGGGGGAAACCCUGAUGCAGCGACGCCGCGUGAGCGAUGAAGUAUUUCGGUAUGUAAAGCUCUAUCAGCAGGGAAGAAAAUGACGGUACCUGACCAAGAAGCCCCGGCUAACUACGUGCCAGCAGCCGCGGUAAUACGGAGGGGGCAAGCGUUAUCCGGAUUUACUGGGUGUAAAGGGGGCGCAGACGGCAAUGCAAGCCAGGCGUGAAAGCCCGGGGCCCAACCCCGGGACUGCUCGUGGAACUGCAUGGCUGGAGUACAGGAGGGGCAGGCGGAAUUCCUGGUGUAGCGGUGAAAUGCUUAGAUAUUAGGCGGAACACCGGUGGCGAAGGCGGCCUGCUGGACUGUGACUGACGUUGAGGCCCGAAGGCGUGGGGAGCAAACAGGAUUAGAUACCCCAGUAGUC
This 440-nucleotide ribosomal RNA is filed under the name uncultured bacterium. RNAcentral's name for it is "partial 16S ribosomal RNA". It matches the Rfam family "Bacterial small subunit ribosomal RNA", at positions 338 to 795 of the family's 1533-position model. The record is from RNAcentral.